RNAcentral lists this ribosomal RNA (373 nucleotides) under uncultured organism. RNAcentral describes it as "bacterial SSU rRNA". It matches the Rfam family "Bacterial small subunit ribosomal RNA", at positions 526 to 896 of the family's 1533-position model. The record is from RNAcentral.
CGUAGGGGGCAAGCGUUGUCCGGAUUUAUUGGGCGUAAAGAGCUCGUAGGCGGUUCCGUAAGUCGAGUGUGAAAAAUCUGGGCUCAACCCAGUGGAGCACUCGAUACUGCGGUGACUUGAGUUCGGUAGAGGAGUGUGGAAUUCCUGGUGUAGCGGUGAAAUGCGCAGAUAUCAGGAGGAACACCGACGGCGAAGGCAGCACUCUGGGCCGGUACUGACGCUGAGGAGCGAAAGCGUGGGGAGCAAACAGGAUUAGAUACCCUGGUAGUCCACGCCGUAAACGUUGGGCACUAGGUGUGGGGAGGAAUCAACCCUUUCCGUGCCGUAGCUAACGCAUUAAGUGCCCCGCCUGGGGAGUACGGCCGCAAGGCUA